Molecule: ribosomal RNA, 289 nt
Filed under: uncultured bacterium
Lineage: Bacteria
Description: partial 16S ribosomal RNA
Rfam family: Bacterial small subunit ribosomal RNA
Source: RNAcentral
GCGUGAAGGAUGAAGGCCUUUGGGUCGUAAACUUCUGUCAGAGGGGAAGAAAUACUCGCAAGAGAGCUGACGGUACCCUCAAAGGAAGCACCGGCUAACUCCGUGCCAGCAGCCGCGGUAAUACGGAGGGUGCAAGCGUUGUUCGGAAUUAUUGGGCGUAAAGCGCAUGUAGGCGGAUUGUUAAGUCUGGUGUGAAAGCCCGGGGCUCAACCCCGGAAGUGCAUUGGAUACUGGCAGUCUUGAGUAUGGGAGAGGAAAGUGGAAUUCCGAGUGUAGGAGUGAAAUCCGU